RNAcentral lists this ribosomal RNA (2949 nucleotides) under Apophlaea lyallii. RNAcentral's name for it is "LSU rRNA". It matches the Rfam family "Eukaryotic large subunit ribosomal RNA", at positions 79 to 2877 of the family's 3401-position model. The record is from RNAcentral. Lineage: Eukaryota; Rhodophyta; Florideophyceae; Hildenbrandiales; Hildenbrandiaceae.
CUCAGUAGCGGCGAGCGAAACGGGAAAAGCCCAGGAUGAAAACCAAAGCAUUUGUUUUUGCUUUGGGUUGUAUCCGGUCAACCCUCGGUUGCGGAGAUAUGGGUAAAGUUACCUGGAAAGGUGCACCGCGGAGGGUGAAAGUCCCGUCCAUCCCAUGUGUUCGCGCCGGUUACGGGGACUGACUCAGGCGAGUCGGGUUGCUUGGGAAUGCAGCCCUAAUAGGUGGUAAACCGCAUCUAAGGCUAAAUAAUAGUGGGAGACCGAUAGCAAACAAGUACCGUGAGGGAAAGAUGGAAAGAACUCUGAAAAGAGAGUGCCAAGGACUUGAAACCGUCACGGGGGAAGCGAAUUGCGGAAGGAUGUCUGGGAAGGUGUGUUCAGCAGAACGGCCCUACUUUUUAAAAGUUGGCUGGCCUGUGCACUCACGCCAUCCCAGGGCCGAUGUGGCUGGGGGGUGAAAAAUUUUAGGGGGAUAUUUAUUUUAUUUUAAAUUUUCCUCUCUUUUUUUUUGCGUGGUGAUUCCACACUACGCCCCUGGUGAGGGUAUCCACUUUUAAGGUGUUGAGGACAUCGGCGUUUCAAAGCGCAAUACGACCCGUCUUGAAACACGGACCAAGGAGUCUAGCGGAGCAGCGAGUCGAAGACUGAAUGAAAGUCAUGGGCGCAGUGAAAGCAAAUGUUUCAAAUUGAUCAAAUUGAGGAGGCGUGGCGCUUUUAGCAAAAUGACCUACCUUGAGCUGCUGCGCUGGGACCCGAAAGAUGGUGAACUAUGCCGGAGUAGGGCAAAGCCAGAGGAAACUCUGGUGGAGGCUCGUAGCGGUGCUGACGUGCAAAUCGCUCGUCGAACUCGGGUAUAGGGGCGAAAGACUAAUCGAACCAUCUAGUAGCUGGUUCCCUCCGAAGUUUCUCUCAGGAUAGCGGGCUGGAAAAAAAAAAAAAGGUGUUGUUUCUGUGCGGUAAAGCGAAUGAUUAGCGCAUUUGGGAACCAAAGGUUCUCUGGCGAUUCUCAAACUUUAAAUGCGCGAGAGCCGUCUGGUUGCUUUACGGAACCAGUUGCGGGCAGAAAACGCCAGCCUUGUGGGCCACUUUUGGUAAGCAGAACUGGCGAUAAGGGAUGAACCUUAAGCACGGUUAAGGCGCCAAACUACGCGCUUAUAGACCCCACAAAAGGUGUUGAUUCAUUUAGACAGCAGGACGGUGGCCAUGGAAGUCGGAAUCCGCUAAGGAGUGUGUAACAACUCACCUGCCGAAUGCAUUAGCCCUGAAAAUGGAUGGCGCUCAAGCGCGUGGCCGACACCGUGCCGUUGGAUUUACUGAUGAAUCCAAUGAGUAGGAGGGCGCGGGGGUGCUGGGGAAGUGCGCGCGCAAGCGUGGAUGGAAGCGCCUCUGGUGCAGAUCUUGGUGGUAUAGCAAAUAUUCAAGCGAGAUCCUUGAAGGGCGAAGUGGGGAAGGGUUCCACGCGAACAUUGAUUGGACGUGGGUGAGUCGUUCCUAAGCGAGGCGGCAAUCGCGCCGGCACACGCGAAAGGGAAGCCAGUUAAAAUUCUGGCGCACGGGCACGGACAUAGUGGUGACACGCUUAUCUUUUUUUGCAUGAUGGGUGGGGGCGAGCACGCUGGCGAGCGCCUCGGGCAGAGUUGUCUUUUCUGUUUAAAUUUCUUUAGUGGCUGGUGUGGAAGAACGUUGCGUUGAGAAACACAGCCCAGGAUGAAGAGCGCUGCGAUUUGUGCAGCGUCCGGAGCGCGCUCGACGGCCCUUGAAACCUUGCUCUCCCAAUUGUCUUUUGGGCUUCUCUCUUUUUUUUUCUCCUCUUUUUCUUUUUGAAGGGAGGUGGGGGGAAACGAGGAGGUCCGAAGGGGCUGAGAGUCCGUGGCGUGACGUACCGAUAACCGCAUCAGGUCCCCAGGUCUCAAACACUCUGCUCAGUAUGAAUAAUGCAGGUAAGGGAAUUCGGCAAAAUAGACCCGUAACUUUGGGAAAAGGGUUGGCUCUAGUGGCGCGUGUGGGAAACGGUUGUUGCUUCUGGCCGUGUUGGGGGCACGGGAAGCGGGCGGAUGGGGGGGGACUUUCCAUUUUUGUAGGGGGUUUCCUUCUGAUGUCUGUAUCCUGAGCCCGCGGACGGUUAGUGCUUCAAUCUACCUGCACGCUUGCGCCGAACUAGAACUGUAACGGGCAAAGGGAAUCCGACUGUUUAAUUAAAACAAAGCGUUGCGAUGGCCGGGGAACGGUGAUGACGCAACGUGAUUUCUGCUCAGUGCUCUGAAUGUCAAAGUGAAGAGGUUCAACGAAGCGCGGGUAAACAGCGGGAGUAACUAUGACUCUCUUAAGGUAGCCAAAUGCCUUGUCAUCUAAUUAGUGACGCGCAUGAAUGGAUUAACGAGAUUCCUACUGUCCCUAUCUGCUUCUAGCGAAACCACAGCCGCGGGAACGGGCGCGGCAGACUCUGCGGGGAAAGAAGACCCUGUUGAGCUUGACUCUAUUCUACAACUGUUGGACGAGUUUUGAGGUGUAGAUAUAGGUGGGAGCUUUCGGGCGACUGUGAAAUACCACUACUCUUAAUCUCGUUUUACUUAACGCGUGACAUGGGGGAACCUGGCGACAGGUCUUGUAGCAACAACACCCGAAAACUUUUUUUUUAAAAAGGCUUUUUUGGGUGGACCCACGCGCGUAACACUUCUAGGAGGGGAGUUUGGCUGGGGCGGCACAUCUUCUACAAGACAACGAAGGUGUCCCAAGAUAAGCUCAGUGAGAACAGAAAUCUCACGUAGCGCGAAAGGGUAAAAGCUUGUUUGAACUGCGUAGUGAAUGGCUGCGCAGAAUGCGAAAGCACGGCCUAUCGAUCCUUUCGAAAUAAUUCGCGGUUUGAAGCGAGAGGUGUCAGAAAAGUUACCACAGGGAUAACUGGCUUGUGGCGGCCAAGAGCUCAAAUCGACGCCGCUUUUUGAUCCU